Molecule: long non-coding RNA, 1740 nt
Organism: Podarcis raffonei (Aeolian wall lizard)
Lineage: Eukaryota; Metazoa; Chordata; Lepidosauria; Squamata; Lacertidae
Exons: 2
Source: RefSeq, a predicted model, not a curated record
AGGUGGUGGAACCACCUUGGCAUCUCAUCCAUACGCCUUAGGAUUGCACAGCAAGUGACAUUGUUCAUAGGCCACAUUCAAACCAAAUGUUCAAAGCAGUAUGAUGCUACUUUAAACCAUCACGGCUUCCCCCAAAUAAUUGUGGGAGCUUUGGUUUGUUAAGGGUGCUGAGAGUUGCAGGGAGACCCCUAUUCCCCUCUCAGAGCUACAAUUCUGAGAGUUCCCUGUGGAGAUGGAUGGACGGAUGUUUAAGCCACUCUGGGAACUGUAACUUUCUGAGGGGAAUAGGGGUUUGCUAACAACUCUUAGCCACCCUUACCAAAACUACAGAUCCCAGGAUUACCUGCUGAGAAGCAGCCAUUUAACCUUUUGCAGCUUGUAGCACAAAUGUACCCUGCCUGUGAUACGUUGAUUCCAUUCAGAAGAAAAUACAAAAGUACUGAUUAGUCACAAAUAUCAAAUUACAUCUUUUCUGUAAUAUGCACAGAAAAACGGUGUUCUGAUGCAGUAGACAGGGCUGUAGCCAACCAAAUUCUACUCGCUGAUGAGCCUAAGUUAGUCACGUCAAUCAAUUUCAAUGAGUCUACAGUGGUACCUCUGGUUAUAAACUUAAUUCAUUCCGGAGGUCCGUUCUUAAGCUGAAACCAUUAUUAUCCUGAGGUGCACUUUCACUAAUGGGGCCUACCACUGCGCGUGCGACUCUGGUGCGCGAUUUCCGUUCGCAUCCUGGGGCAAAGUUCGCAACUUCCGGGUUUGCGGAAUUCGUAACGUAAGGUUACCAGACUUUCCCGGGGACAGUCCCCAGAUUUACAAAUCAGUCCCCAUACAAAAUCCAUUGAAGUUGAAAAGUGUCCCUGGAUUCAUUGAAAAAAAUCUGGUAACCUUAUCGUAACCUGAAGCUUUUGUAACCAGAAGUCUUUGUAACCAGAGGUACCACUGUACUCUGAAGAGUAUUAAUACUUGAUACACCCCUGAUUGUUAUGAUCCUGUCCUUGGAAGUUGAAGGAUAUGUUGUAACAAGCUACCAGGAACCUACUCAGGAUUCACUGGAAUAAACAGGCAUUUCUCCAGAGCUCAGCUGAGCUCUUAGAUAACUCCCUCCUAUUGAUUUCAGGGAUGCUUCUACAGAACUGCAGCAAGGAGGUGCCAGUUCUUUGUACAACAUUGGGUUGCCAGCUGCACUUUUAAGAGCAGUAGUUAUAAUAUCAAUGUCUCUAUCUCCAUCCUGUGAAAAGUCUCACCUGUUAACUUCUGUGGAUCCAGUUGUUGUUAAAAGACACAAGAACAGAACAGACCUAGGGGUGGGAGUGGGGUAGGUCAGUUGACAACUGUAGGUGGGUAUUCUGAACACCAAGUCUUAUUGAUGCAGCUAAAGUUGAGUCUCCAGAUCCAGUCAUCUCUUUUUCCCAAAUCUCCCCAAAAGCUAUUAUUGGUCUACGUUACCUAUGCAGAACAAUUGCUGCACCUGCAGAGAAACCUGCCACUGUAAAAUGCAUUUAAUUAACAUCUUUUCUACUUUUAUGGCACUCUGAAUAAAAAAAAAGACUACGUCCUAAGGCCAUCAUUUUUGUAUGUAAGAUGCCUGUUGAAUUGUAUAGUACUGUAUACACUUAAUAUUGUAUAACUUCCCUUGCCCUUACCUCAAGAUUUUUGCAAAACUGAAGAUCAUUCUGUGAGUUUAUAAACAAUUUCUUUGCUGUUUAUUAUGUCACAGACAUUCCUAUAAAGUCAAAGAUCAAA